ACAAGCCUAGAGAUAUGAAGGGAAAAGUGUGACUGCUCUGACAGCAGAAACAAGCAAGUAUCUCCAAAGGGGAUUAGUCCCUGUGCUUCAAAGUAACUAAAACAAAGAAAGCUGAGCCAGCUUCAAGGGGAACAGCACCUUCCAUCAGACAAGGAUGAGCUAAU
Molecule: non-coding RNA, 164 nt
Organism: Choloepus hoffmanni (Hoffmann's two-fingered sloth)
Lineage: Eukaryota; Metazoa; Chordata; Mammalia; Pilosa; Megalonychidae
Source: Rfam